This 76-nucleotide transfer RNA is filed under the name Candidatus Acetothermia bacterium. Its description in RNAcentral is "tRNA-Gly". It matches the Rfam family "tRNA". Rfam says of the family: Transfer RNA (tRNA) molecules are approximately 80 nucleotides in length. Their secondary structure includes four short double-helical elements and three loops (D, anti-codon, and T loops). Further hydrogen bonds mediate the characteristic L-shaped molecular structure. tRNAs have two regions of fundamental functional importance: the anti-codon, which is responsible for specific mRNA codon recognition, and the 3' end, to which the tRNAs corresponding amino acid is attached (by aminoacyl-tRNA synthetases). tRNAs cope with the degeneracy of the genetic code in two manners: having more than one tRNA (with a specific anti-codon) for a particular amino acid; and 'wobble' base-pairing, i.e. permitting non-standard base-pairing at the 3rd anti-codon position. The record is from RNAcentral. Lineage: Bacteria; Candidatus Bipolaricaulota. RNAcentral also lists the same sequence under 1 other name.
GCGGGAAUAGCUCAGUUGGUAGAGCGCCACCUUGCCAAGGUGGAGGGCGCGGGUUCGACCCCCGUUUCCCGCUCCA